AUGAACAGAAUGGCGAAACACAGCAACGACAGGCCGGAAGCUCGCUCGCAAUCUUCAAUGCACCAUCGGUCUCUCUCAGUGAACAAUCCCGCAUCGAUCGGUCCCCGUCGUCGAUCUCAUCAAUCAAUCAAUGGAUCAAUCGAUCAAUCAGUGUAUGCACUUGCCUCCCUGGAACCUCCAGCCGAUCUUGCCGGCCCGGCGCUCCCACUCCGGGCGCGACACGUAGCGCCUCCAGUCCUCGACGACGCGCCGGAGGUCGUGCAGCUUGUUCUCGAGCCCGAUGCAGCAGGUCAUGUGCACGGUGGCGAUCCGGUUGAGGUCGCGCCCGAGCUGGCAGAAGCCGCUGACGAACGCGCUGUCGACGAACCUGAUCCGGACGCCGAUGGGCGGCGCCGCCAGCUCCCGCUUGAUCUCGUUGAAGACGAACUGGUCGUGGUUGUCCGGGAAGCGCGCCCUGGCGGCGUGCCAGUAGGCCAUGGCGCGCGCGUUGCGGGGCGUGGCCUUGAAGUAGAUGAAGCCCGUGUUGGGGUAGUUUCCCAGGUCGUCCGGGUCGCCGAAGUAGAAGUCACUCGACGUCGUGAUGUCCGCCGCCGCCGUGAUGUGCACCCGCGGGUCACGGAACCACGCCACGUCCACGUCCGUGAAGAGGAGGUUGUAGCCGAGGAGGAGGACGCGGUGCUGGAGCCGGAGCUUGCUCCAGACGAGGUCGAGGUAGUCCUUGGUCAUGUAGCUCUUGGCGCCGGAGAGGUCGAGGCCGUCCACGUCGGGGAGCAGCAGCGCAGUCGCCGAGGCCGCCCCUGA
This 801-nucleotide ribosomal RNA is filed under the name Triticum aestivum (bread wheat). Its description in RNAcentral is "partial small subunit ribosomal RNA". The record is from RNAcentral. Lineage: Eukaryota; Viridiplantae; Streptophyta; Magnoliopsida; Poales; Poaceae.